This 831-nucleotide ribosomal RNA is filed under the name Aspergillus oryzae. RNAcentral's name for it is "SSU rRNA". It matches the Rfam family "Eukaryotic small subunit ribosomal RNA", at positions 155 to 995 of the family's 1831-position model. Lineage: Eukaryota; Fungi; Ascomycota; Eurotiomycetes; Eurotiales; Aspergillaceae. The record is from RNAcentral.
AUUCUAGAGCUAAUACAUGCUAAAAACCUCGACUUCGGAAGGGGUGUAUUUAUUAGAUAAAAAACCAAUGCCCUUCGGGGCUCCUUGGUGAUUCAUAAUAACUUAACGAAUCGCAUGGCCUUGCGCCGGCGAUGGUUCAUUCAAAUUUCUGCCCUAUCAACUUUCGAUGGUAGGAUAGUGGCCUACCAUGGUGGCAACGGGUAACGGGGAAUUAGGGUUCGAUUCCGGAGAGGGAGCCUGAGAAACGGCUACCACAUCCAAGGAAGGCAGCAGGCGCGCAAAUUACCCAAUCCCGACACGGGGAGGUAGUGACAAUAAAUACUGAUACGGGGCUCUUUUGGGUCUCGUAAUUGGAAUGAGUACAAUCUAAAUCCCUUAACGAGGAACAAUUGGAGGGCAAGUCUGGUGCCAGCAGCCGCGGUAAUUCCAGCUCCAAUAGCGUAUAUUAAAGUUGUUGCAGUUAAAAAGCUCGUAGUUGAACCUUGGGUCUGGCUGGCCGGUCCGCCUCACCGCGAGUACUGGUCCGGCUGGACCUUUCCUUCUGGGGAACCUCAUGGCCUUCACUGGCUGUGGGGGGAACCAGGACUUUUACUGUGAAAAAAUUAGAGUGUUCAAAGCAGGCCUUUGCUCGAAUACAUUAGCAUGGAAUAAUAGAAUAGGACGUGCGGUUCUAUUUUGUUGGUUUCUAGGACCGCCGUAAUGAUUAAUAGGGAUAGUCGGGGGCGUCAGUAUUCAGCUGUCAGAGGUGAAAUUCUUGGAUUUGCUGAAGACUAACUACUGCGAAAGCAUUCGCCAAGGAUGUUUUCAUUAAUCAGGGAACGAAAGUUAGGG